Fukomys damarensis (Damara mole-rat) is the source of this 471-nucleotide long non-coding RNA. RefSeq lists it as uncharacterized. NCBI's taxonomy places the organism in Eukaryota, Metazoa, Chordata, Mammalia, Rodentia, Bathyergidae. The record is from RefSeq and is a predicted model, not a curated record. The transcript has 5 exons.
GGAGUGAGGCCACGACCGGCCGAGGACAGUCUACUGCCUCUAGAAAUGGCGAGAAACAGAUUCUCACCUGAGCUCCUGGAAAGAAGAAGCUCCACCAGCACCUAGAGUGACUCUCGCCUCACCUUACCUCAGGCAUUCUUCAGUGUAAAGAGCUUAAACAUACUUCUCCAAACACAUCCCAGAGGAGCCAGCCACGAGAAAGAGAUUUGUCAUACACCUUACACACCGAGGAACCUGUGAAGGAUGCAGGACAGGUGUGUAAGAAAGAGGAGCCACACCGUAGAACACAGCUGAGGAAGAGGCUGGAAGCAGGAAGUUACUGAGGGCCAAGCAUGAAGUAGCAUUGCCUUAAGUCGGAAAGAAGAUCUGAUGACGCUGAGCCUUACCUCCCUCUCGACACCACUGGAUCUUCUACUUUGGGAAUGAGACGCUGUGUGGGCUUAAGGGCCCAGAGAGGCCAGGACAGCAGCA